This 374-nucleotide ribosomal RNA is filed under the name uncultured bacterium. RNAcentral describes it as "bacterial SSU rRNA". It matches the Rfam family "Bacterial small subunit ribosomal RNA", at positions 524 to 898 of the family's 1533-position model. The record is from RNAcentral.
UACGUAGGGUGCGAGCGUUGUCCGGAAUUACUGGGUGUAAAGGGUGCACGGGCGGAUUCGCACGUCGAAGGUUAAAGACCUUGGCUUAACCAAGGAGAUGCCCUCGAUACGGUGAGUCUUGAAUGUGAGAGAGGAUGGUAGAAUUCCUGGUGUAGCGGUGAAAUGCGUAGAUAUCAGGAGGAAUACCGGUGGCGAAGGCGGCCAUCUGGCUCAUUAUUGACGCUUAGGCACGAAAGCGUGGGGAGCGAACAGGAUUAGAUACCCUGGUAGUCCACGCCCUAAACGAUGUAUGCUUGGUGUUGGAUCUUACGGGAUUCAGUGCCGAAGAAAACUCGAUAAGCAUACCACCUGGGGAGUACGAUCGCAAGGUUGAA